UCCAACUUGGGGAGGAGAAGCGAGAGGUAGGGAACUGCAGGGAAGAGCCCCGCUUUCUUACCCUGGCACAUCAAGGGUAAGUCUGACAGCGACACUAAGAAUCGAUUUCAGCAAAGACAUCCUACUGAACACAAAGCGUUCAUGAAGGCCCAUGAGAACCGAAUCCCAGUCCACCCGGGACACAUGGGAACCCAGCAAGACUCAGAGCGACUGUGAGGCACGUGGCUAUGUCAUGGCUGAGCAAAUGGGUGGGGUAGAGACUCAAUGAACUUCACCCCUGAAAACAAGACUUGGUCAGCAAACCCCUUCUCAGAUGUCCCCAGAGCCCCUGAAGAGGACACGUGGCCAUAACUGCCAUCCAGAGAGCUUCCGAAGUGCUUUACCUGCCUUACCUUCUGGCUCUUCUGCUUGGUGUCACCACUGUUGGGGUAUUAAUUAGGCUGGAGGUUCUUGAGUAUGGCUUUGUGUCAGGUUACGUCCAUGUCUUCCCCGGAACUCAGCACAGUUUUGGUACACAGAAGUACAAUAAAUGGGGUUGGUUGAA
Manis pentadactyla (Chinese pangolin) is the source of this 544-nucleotide long non-coding RNA. RefSeq lists it as uncharacterized. The transcript is spliced from 3 exons. NCBI's taxonomy places the organism in Eukaryota, Metazoa, Chordata, Mammalia, Pholidota, Manidae. The record is from RefSeq and is a predicted model, not a curated record.